RNAcentral lists this ribosomal RNA (1419 nucleotides) under uncultured bacterium. Its description in RNAcentral is "bacterial SSU rRNA". It matches the Rfam family "Bacterial small subunit ribosomal RNA". The record is from RNAcentral.
GGCAUGACAUCCAUGGGCGAAUGAAUUAGCCGCCGCGAAUUGCCCUUAGAGUUUGAUCCUGGCUCAGGACGAACGCUGUCGGCGCGCCUAACACAAGCAAGUCGAACGAGAGAGAGGAAGCUUGCUUCCUCAAUCGAGUGGCGAACGGGUGAGUAACGCGUGAGGAACCUGCCUCAAAGAGGGGGACAACAGUUGGAAACGACUGCUAAUACCGCAUAAGCCCACAGCUCGGCAUCGAGCAGAGGGAAAAGGAGCAAUCCGCUUUGAGAUGGCCUCGCGUCCGAUUAGCUGGUUGGUGAGGUAAUGGCCCACCAAGGCGACGAUCGGUAGCCGGACUGAGAGGUUGAACGGCCACAUUGGGACUGAGACACGGCCCAGACUCCUACGGGAGGCAGCAGUGGGGAAUAUUGCACAAUGGGGGAAACCCUGAUGCAGCGACGCCGCGUGGAGGAAGAAGGUCUUCGGAUUGUAAACUCCUGUUGUUGAGGAAGAUAAUGACGGUACUCAACAAGGAAGUGACGGCUAACUACGUGCCAGCAGCCGCGGUAAAACGUAGGUCACAAGCGUUGUCCGGAAUUACUGGGUGUAAAGGGAGCGCAGGCGGGAAGACAAGUUGGAAGUGAAAUCUAUGGGCUCAACCCAUAAACUGCUUUCAAAACUGUUUUUCUUGAGUAGUGCAGAGGUAGGCGGAAUUCCCGGUGUAGCGGUGGAAUGCGUAGAUAUCGGGAGGAACACCAGUGGCGAAGGCGGCCUACUGGGCACCAACUGACGCUGAGGCUCGAAAGUGUGGGUAGCAACAGGAUUAGAUACCCUGGUAGUCCACACCGUAAACGAUGAUUACUAGGUGUUGGAGGAUUGACCCCUUCAGUGCCGCAGUUAACACAAUAAGUAAUCCACCUGGGGAGUACGACCGCAAGGUUGAAACUCAAAGGAAUUGACGGGGGCCCGCACAAGCAGUGGAGUAUGUGGUUUAAUUCGACGCAACGCGAAGAACCUUACCGAGUCUUGACAUCCUGCGACGCACAUAGAAAUAUGUGUUUCCUUCGGGACGCAGAGACAGGUGGUGCAUGGUUGUCGUCAGCUCGUGUCGUGAGAUGUUGGGUUAAGUCCCGCAACGAGCGCAACCCUUACUGUCAGUUACUACGCAAGAGGACUCUGGCAGGACUGCCGUUGACAAAACGGAGGAAGGUGGGGAUGACGUCAAAUCAUCAUGCCCUUUAUGACUUGGGCUACACACGUACUACAAUGGCGUUAAACAAAGAGAAGCAAGACCGCGAGGUGGAGCAAAACUCAGAAACAACGUCCCAGUUCGGACUGCAGGCUGCAACUCGCCUGCACGAAGUCGGAAUUGCUAGUAAUCGUGGAUCAGCAUGCCACGGUGAAUACGUUCNCCGGGCACUUGUACACACCGCCCGUNNC